GCAUCGGUGGUUCAGUGGUAGAAUACUCGCCUGCCACGCGGUCGGCCCGGGUUCGAUUCCCGGCCGAUGCA
RNAcentral lists this transfer RNA (71 nucleotides) under Cordylochernes scorpioides. RNAcentral describes it as "tRNA-Gly". It matches the Rfam family "tRNA". Rfam says of the family: Transfer RNA (tRNA) molecules are approximately 80 nucleotides in length. Their secondary structure includes four short double-helical elements and three loops (D, anti-codon, and T loops). Further hydrogen bonds mediate the characteristic L-shaped molecular structure. tRNAs have two regions of fundamental functional importance: the anti-codon, which is responsible for specific mRNA codon recognition, and the 3' end, to which the tRNAs corresponding amino acid is attached (by aminoacyl-tRNA synthetases). tRNAs cope with the degeneracy of the genetic code in two manners: having more than one tRNA (with a specific anti-codon) for a particular amino acid; and 'wobble' base-pairing, i.e. permitting non-standard base-pairing at the 3rd anti-codon position. The record is from RNAcentral. Lineage: Eukaryota; Metazoa; Arthropoda; Arachnida; Pseudoscorpiones; Chernetidae.